RNAcentral lists this ribosomal RNA (420 nucleotides) under uncultured prokaryote. RNAcentral describes it as "bacterial SSU rRNA". It matches the Rfam family "Bacterial small subunit ribosomal RNA", at positions 355 to 774 of the family's 1533-position model. The record is from RNAcentral.
UAAGGAAUAUUGCUCAAUGGGAGAAAUCCUGAAGCAGCAACGCCGCGUGGAGGAUGAAGGGCUUUCAGCUUGUAAACUCCUGUAAAGAAGGAAAAAAUUCCCAUUAGAUGGGAAAUGAUGGUACUUCUAAAGUAAGCCCCGGCUAACUACGUGCCAGCAGCCGCGGUAAUACGUAGGGGGCAAGCGUUGUCCGGAUUUACUGGGUGUAAAGGGUGCUCAGGCGGAUUUGUAAGUCAGAGGUGAAAUCUCACAGCUUAACUGUUAAACUGCCUUUGAUACUGCAAGUCUAGCUUAUGGAAGAGAGUGAUCGCCUUUCUUGUGUAGCAGUGAAAUGCGUAGAUAUCAGAUAGAACACCAAUGGCGAAGGCAGUCACUUGGUCCAUUACUGACGCUAAAGCACGAAAGCGUGGGUAGCAAACA